This 496-nucleotide ribosomal RNA is filed under the name uncultured bacterium. RNAcentral's name for it is "partial 16S ribosomal RNA". It matches the Rfam family "Bacterial small subunit ribosomal RNA", at positions 28 to 506 of the family's 1533-position model. The record is from RNAcentral.
GAUGAACGCUGGCGGCGUGCCUAAUACAUGCCAGUCGAGCGAACGGACGAGAAGCUUGCUUCUCUGAUGUUAGCGGCGGACGGGUGAGUAACACGUGGAUAACCUACCUAUAAGACUGGGAUAACUUCGGGAAACCGGAGCUAAUACCGGAUAAUAUUUUGAACCGCAUGGUUCAAAAGUGAAAGACGGUCUUGCUGUCACUUAUAGAUGGAUCCGCGCUGCAUUAGCUAGUUGGUAAGGUAACGGCUUACCAAGGCAACGAUGCAUAGCCGACCUGAGAGGGGGACGGGCCACACAGGAAAUGAGACACGGUCCAAACCCCGAGGGGGGGCAGCGGGAGGGAAUUUUCCGAAAUGGGCGAAAGCCUGAGGGAGAAACGCCGGGGGAGUGAUGAAGGUCUUCGGAUCGUAAAACUUUUUUAUUAGGGAAAAAAAUAUGGGUAAGUAACUGGCCCAAUUUGGACGGUACCAAAUCAGAAAGCCCCGGCUAACUACGG